GACGAACGCUGGCGGCGUGCUUAACACAUGCAAGUCGAACGAGGCCCAUUCUUCGGGGUGGGUUCUAGUGGCGAACGGGUGAGUAACACGUGGGCAACCUGCCCCCGGCUCUGGGAUAACUCCAAGAAAUUGGGGCUAAUACCGGAUAUGACCGCUGACCGCAUGGUCUGGUGGUGGAAAGUUUUUCGGCUGGGGAUGGGCCCGCGGCCUAUCAGCUUGUUGGUGGGGUAGUGGCCUACCAAGGCGACGACGGGUAGCCGGCCUGAGA
Molecule: ribosomal RNA, 268 nt
Filed under: uncultured bacterium
Lineage: Bacteria
Description: partial 16S ribosomal RNA
Rfam family: Bacterial small subunit ribosomal RNA
Source: RNAcentral